RNAcentral lists this unclassified non-coding RNA (508 nucleotides) under Chaetomiaceae sp. SF15-4. Its description in RNAcentral is "sequence contains ITS1, 5.8S rRNA gene, ITS2". The stretch from base 136 to 289 matches the Rfam family "5.8S ribosomal RNA". The record is from RNAcentral. Lineage: Eukaryota; Fungi; Ascomycota; Sordariomycetes; Sordariales; Chaetomiaceae.
CCUUCAAACCGUUGCUUCGGCGGGCGGCCCGGGUCCGCCGGAAGGCCCCUGGCCCCCUAGCGGGGCGCCCGCCGGAGGAAAACCCAACUCUUGAUUAUUAUGGCCUCUCUGAGUCUUCUGUACUGAAUAAGUCAAAACUUUCAACAACGGAUCUCUUGGUUCUGGCAUCGAUGAAGAACGCAGCGAAAUGCGAUAAGUAAUGUGAAUUGCAGAAUUCAGUGAAUCAUCGAAUCUUUGAACGCACAUUGCGCCCGCCAGUAUUCUGGCGGGCAUGCCUGUUCGAGCGUCAUUUCAACCAUCAAGCCCCAGGCUUGUGUUGGGGACCUGCGGCUGCCGCAGGCCCUGAAAACCAGUGGCGGGCUCGCUGUCACACCGGGCGUAGUAGAUUUUAUCUCGCUCUGGGCGUGCUGCGGGUUCCGGCCGUUAAAAAACCCUUUUUACCCAAGGUUGACCUCGGAUCAGGUAGGAAUACCCGCUGAACUUAAGCAUAUCAAUAAGCGGAGGAAUU